RNAcentral lists this ribosomal RNA (250 nucleotides) under uncultured Sporocytophaga sp. RNAcentral describes it as "partial 16S ribosomal RNA". It matches the Rfam family "Bacterial small subunit ribosomal RNA", at positions 524 to 772 of the family's 1533-position model. Lineage: Bacteria; Pseudomonadati; Bacteroidota; Cytophagia; Cytophagales; Cytophagaceae. The record is from RNAcentral.
UACGGAGGGUGCAAGCGUUGUCCGGAUUUAUUGGGUUUAAAGGGUGCGUAGGCGGCUGAUUAAGUCAGUGGUGAAAGGCAGCAGCUUAACUGUUAGCACGGCCAUUGAUACUGGUUAGCUUGAGUACAGUCGAGGUAGGCGGAAUUGAAGGUGUAGCGGUGAAAUGCAUAGGUAUCUUCAAGAACACCUAUUGCGAAGGCAGCUUACUAGGCUGUAACUGACGCUGAUGCACGAAAGCGUGGGGAUCGAA